ACGCCGCCCUGCACCCACCACGUACUUCUUCCUGGGGGACCUGUCUGCCGAGGAGGCGGCCUACGCGCCAGUGCUGACUCCGCGCGUGCUGGCCGGCCUCCUCCUGCCGCCUGGGGGCCGCCCAGAUGGGCCUCUUUGUGGCUCCGGCUGCCUGCUGCUGGGCCACUACCCGGCUGUCUGCCGCCCUCAGCUCACGACUGCGGGGCUCUGCUGGUGCCUUCUCGCCGCCUGCUGCGUUGGGGGCUCUCUCCUGGCCUUGGGCCUCACCACGGCCAUCUUCCAGCUGCCCUUCCGCCGUGGGGGCUUAGUCAACCACGUCUUCCGCGACCUCCCGGCCGUGUUGGUGUUGGCCUGCGGGAACCGGGACCUGCAGGAGCACGUCCUGCUGGCGGCCUGCGUGCUGCUGGCGGUGCUGCCUCUGGCCCUGAUCCUUCUCCUACGCCAGGGCGGUGCUGGUCAUCCUGGGGCAUUGCUGGGGCUGCGGGCCACCGCAAGGCCUUCAACACGGUGGCGUCCCAUCUCACGGUGGCCUGGCCAUGCUCCACGACGGCUGCGCCACGGCCGUGUACGCCAGGCCACCGAGCAGCCACUCCCUGGAGGAGGACAGGCUGGUCUCAUUCAUCUACAUCAACCUCACUUCCCCGCUCUACCCGGCCAUCUACACGCUGCGGAACCGGGACAUGCAGGGGGCACUGCAGCGGGUGGUCGGCCCCAGGACACCAGGCGCCGUCCACCAGGCUGAUGUCACCGAAUGCUGGAUGCCAGGUGGAGUCUGUUCUGAAAUCUCUCCACCACCCCCGGAUGGAAACCUCACAUUCCAGAACCAUCUGUGACUCCCCGAAGCCUACUGGACACAACCUGGGUGCAGCAGACAAGGACUCCAAAAUCAGACUCCAGCCUGCUGCUUCCGCAUCUAGUGACUUUUUUUUUUUUUUUAUGUGGACCGUUUUUAAAGUCUGUAUUGAGUUUGUUACAGCAUUGCUUCUGUUUUAUGUUUUUGGUUUUUUGGCCGUGAGCUAUGUGGGAUCUUAG
RNAcentral lists this long non-coding RNA (1032 nucleotides) under Delphinapterus leucas (beluga whale). RNAcentral describes it as "lncRNA (ENSDLEG00000020887.1)". Lineage: Eukaryota; Metazoa; Chordata; Mammalia; Artiodactyla; Monodontidae. The record is from RNAcentral.